RNAcentral lists this transfer RNA (72 nucleotides) under Candidatus Kurthia equi. RNAcentral's name for it is "tRNA-Arg". It matches the Rfam family "tRNA". From Rfam's summary of the family: Transfer RNA (tRNA) molecules are approximately 80 nucleotides in length. Their secondary structure includes four short double-helical elements and three loops (D, anti-codon, and T loops). Lineage: Bacteria; Bacillati; Bacillota; Bacilli; Caryophanales; Caryophanaceae. The record is from RNAcentral.
GCCCUAGUAGUUUAAUGGAUAGAAUGUUAGAUUCCGAUUCUGAUGAUGGGGGUUCGAUUCCCUCCUAGGGCA